AACGAACGCUGGCGGCAGGCUUAACACAUGCAAGUCGAACGCAUCCUUCGGGGUGAGUGGCAGACGGGUGAGUAACGCGUGGGAAUCUACCCUGAUCUGCGGGAUAGCUCCGGGAAACUGGAAUUAAUACCGCAUAUGUCCUGAGGGACAAAGAUUCAUCGGUUCAGGAUGAGCCCGCGUCCGAUUAGCUAGUUGGUGGGGUAAAGGCCUACCAAGGCGACGAUCGGUAGCUGGUCUAAGAGGAGGAUCAGCCACAUUGGGACUGAGACACGGCCCAAACUCCUACGGGAGGCAGCAGUGGGGAAUAUUGGACCAUGGGCGCAAGCCUGAGCCAGCCAUGCCGCGUGAGUGAUGAAGGUCUUAGGAUUGUAAAGCUCUUUCACCGGGGACGAUAAUGACGGUACCCGGAGAAGAAGCCCCGGCUAACUUCGUGCCAGCAGCCGCAGUAA
Molecule: ribosomal RNA, 449 nt
Filed under: uncultured bacterium
Lineage: Bacteria
Description: partial 16S ribosomal RNA
Rfam family: Bacterial small subunit ribosomal RNA
Source: RNAcentral